RNAcentral lists this small RNA (52 nucleotides) under Caenorhabditis elegans. RNAcentral describes it as "Unclassified non-coding RNA Y37E11AL.14". The record is from RNAcentral. Lineage: Eukaryota; Metazoa; Nematoda; Chromadorea; Rhabditida; Rhabditidae.
GAGGAAUGCAACAGAGCAUGAACUCCCGGAGCACUUUUUAGGCCCCGCCCAC